GGGAAAGUGGCUCAGUGGUAGAGCGCUUGCCUUGCAUGCAUGAAGCCCUGGGUUCGAUUCCUCAGUACCA
RNAcentral lists this transfer RNA (70 nucleotides) under Dipodomys ordii (Ord's kangaroo rat). It matches the Rfam family "tRNA". Rfam says of the family: Transfer RNA (tRNA) molecules are approximately 80 nucleotides in length. Their secondary structure includes four short double-helical elements and three loops (D, anti-codon, and T loops). The record is from Rfam by way of RNAcentral. Lineage: Eukaryota; Metazoa; Chordata; Mammalia; Rodentia; Heteromyidae.